This 252-nucleotide ribosomal RNA is filed under the name uncultured bacterium. RNAcentral's name for it is "partial 16S ribosomal RNA". It matches the Rfam family "Bacterial small subunit ribosomal RNA", at positions 524 to 776 of the family's 1533-position model. The record is from RNAcentral.
UACGAAGGGGGCUAGCGUUGUUCGGAAUUACUGGGCGUAAGGGCGCGUAGGCGGUGUGUCAAGUCAGGCGUGAAAGCCCCGGGCUCAACCUGGGAACCGCGCUUGAGACUGGCACGCUAGAGUUCGGGAGAGGAUGGUGGAAUUCCCAGUGUAGAGGUGAAAUUCGUAGAUAUUGGGAAGAACACCGAUGGCGAAGGCAGCCAUCUGGACCGACACUGACGCUGAGGCGCGAAAGCGUGGGGAGCAAACAGG